RNAcentral lists this ribosomal RNA (408 nucleotides) under uncultured bacterium. RNAcentral describes it as "partial 16S ribosomal RNA". It matches the Rfam family "Bacterial small subunit ribosomal RNA", at positions 28 to 526 of the family's 1533-position model. The record is from RNAcentral.
GACGAACGCUGGCGGCGUGCUUAACACAUGCAAGUCGAACGAAGUGGCGAACGGGUGAGUAACGCGUAAUCAACCUGCCCUUCAGAGGGGGACAACAGUUGGAACCGACACCUAAUACCGCAUACUGAAGGAGGGGCUGGCGCCUGAUUAGCUAGUUGGCGGGGUAACGGCCCACCAAGGCGAUGAUCAGUAGCCGGUCUGAGAGGAUGAACGGCCACAUUGGGGCUGAGACACGGCCCAGACUCCUACGGGAGGGAGCAGUGGGGAAUCUUCCGAAAUGGACGAAAGUCUGACGGAGCAACGCCGCGGGAGUGAUGACGGCCUUCGGGUUGUAAAGCUCUGUGAACCGGGACGCGGUACCGGAAUAGAGAGCCACGGCUAACUACGUGCCAGCAGCCGCGGUAAUUC